UGAAUGUCAUAUGUUUUGUGCUGAUGGA
This 28-nucleotide non-coding RNA is filed under the name Mus musculus (house mouse). The record is from RNAcentral. Lineage: Eukaryota; Metazoa; Chordata; Mammalia; Rodentia; Muridae.